AAAUGACUCUCGGCAACGGAUAUCUCGGCUCUCGCAUCGAUGAAGAACGUAGCAAAAUGCGAUACGUGGUGUGAAUUGCAGAAUUCCGUGAACCAUCGAGUUUUUGAACGCAAGUUGCGCCCGAAGCCAUUCGGCCGAGGGCACGUCUGCCUGGGCGUCACGC
This 163-nucleotide ribosomal RNA is filed under the name Elatostema lonchophyllum. RNAcentral's name for it is "5.8S ribosomal RNA". It matches the Rfam family "5.8S ribosomal RNA". Rfam says of the family: 5.8S ribosomal RNA (5.8S rRNA) is a component of the large subunit of the eukaryotic ribosome. Lineage: Eukaryota; Viridiplantae; Streptophyta; Magnoliopsida; Rosales; Urticaceae. RNAcentral also lists the same sequence under 1 other name. The record is from RNAcentral.